RNAcentral lists this microRNA precursor (188 nucleotides) under Oryza brachyantha (malo sina). RNAcentral's name for it is "MIR812 microRNA precursor family". It matches the Rfam family "MIR812 microRNA precursor family". The record is from Rfam by way of RNAcentral. Lineage: Eukaryota; Viridiplantae; Streptophyta; Magnoliopsida; Poales; Poaceae.
AAUAAGUUUAUAUUUUAGGUUUUCAAUACAAUGUUUGACUUUUCGUCUUAUUUGGAUUUUUUACAAUUAAUAUUUUUAUUGUUAUUAGAUAAUAAAACAUGAAUAAUAUUUUACACGUGACUAAUUUUUUUGAGUUUUUUUAUAAUUUUUUAAAUAAAAUGGAUGGUAAAAUGUUGGACAACAAAUCC